RNAcentral lists this ribosomal RNA (461 nucleotides) under uncultured organism. RNAcentral describes it as "bacterial SSU rRNA". It matches the Rfam family "Bacterial small subunit ribosomal RNA", at positions 28 to 507 of the family's 1533-position model. The record is from RNAcentral.
GAUGAACGCUGGCGGCGUGCUUAACACAUGCAAGUCGAACGUGAGAGGGUAGCAAUAUCCUUGAAAGUGGCGCACGGGUGAGUAAUACGUAGGUAACCUGCCUUGAAGAGGGGGAUAACAACUGGAAACGGUUGCUAACACCGCAUAAUACCGGAUGAGCGGGAGCUUAACUGGUAAAAACUCUGGUGCUUCAAGAGGGGCCUGCGGCCGAUUAGCUAGUUGGCGGGGUAAGAGCCCACCAAGGCGACGAUCGGUAGCUGGUCUGAGAGGACGAUCAGCCACACGGGAACUGAGACACGGUCCCGACUCCUACGGGGGGCAGCAGUGAGGAAUAUUGGGCAAUGGGCGCAAGCCUGACCCAGCAACGCCGCGUGGAGGAAGACGGCCUUCGGGUUGUAAACUCCUUUUUUGGGGGAAGAGGAAGGACGGUACCCCAAGAAUAAGUCACGGCUAACUACGUG